GACGAACGCUGGCGGCGUGCUUAACACAUGCAAGUCGAACGGAAAGGCCCUGCUUUUGUGGGGUGCUCGAGUGGCGAACGGGUGAGUAACACGUGAGUAACCUGCCCUUGACUUUGGGAUAACUUCAGGAAACUGGGGCUAAUACCGGAUAGGAGCUCCUGAUGCAUGGUGGGGGUUGGAAAGUUUCGGCGGUUGGGGAUGGACUCGCGGCUCAUCAGCUUGUUGGUGGGGUAGUGGCUUACCAAGGCUUUGACGGGUAGCCGGCCUGAGAGGGUGACCGGCCACAUUGGGACUGAGAUACGGCCCAGACUCCUACGGGAGGCAGCAGUGGGGAAUAUUGCACAAUGGGCGGAAGCCUGAUGCAGCAACGCCGCGUGCGGGAUGACGGCCUUCGGGUGGUAAACCGCUUUCGCCUGUGACGAAGCGUGAGUGACGGUAAUGGGUAAAGAAGCACCGGCUAACUACGUG
This 468-nucleotide ribosomal RNA is filed under the name uncultured bacterium. RNAcentral's name for it is "partial 16S ribosomal RNA". It matches the Rfam family "Bacterial small subunit ribosomal RNA", at positions 28 to 507 of the family's 1533-position model. The record is from RNAcentral.